This 253-nucleotide ribosomal RNA is filed under the name uncultured bacterium. RNAcentral describes it as "partial 16S ribosomal RNA". It matches the Rfam family "Bacterial small subunit ribosomal RNA", at positions 524 to 776 of the family's 1533-position model. The record is from RNAcentral.
UACGGAGGGAGCUAGCGUUAUUCGGAAUUACUGGGCGUAAAGCGUACGUAGGCGGCUUUGCAAGUUAGAGGUGAAAGCCUGGAGCUCAACUCCAGAACUGCCUUUAAAACUGCAUCGCUUGAAUCCAGGAGAGGUGAGUGGAAUUCCGAGUGUAGAGGUGAAAUUCGUAGAUAUUCGGAAGAACACCAGUGGCGAAGGCGGCUCACUGGCCCAUUACUGACGCUGAGGCACGAAAGCGUGGGGAGCAAACAGG